UGUGAACUGCAGGACACAUGAACAUCGACAUUUUGAACGCAUAUUGCGGUCCAUACUGACUAGUUUCUUUAAUGAAGCUGUAUGGACCACACAUGGUUGAGGGUCGUUAGUUUAUGCUAACUAAAUUGCUUUUGUUUAUCAAAAGCGAAACCAUGAGGUGUUGCCAAUCUUCAGUGCAUUGGCAUCCCUUGAAGUUACCAUCAUUUGGUACACGAUUUUCAUUUCAAUAUAUCAUUUUAUAUUGAAAUUAUAUAAUUGUGUCGAAUGCUUGUUUUAUCAAAGAAAACAAAUAUUACAUUUUGAACGCAUUUUGAAAUUAGUAAGCUUUGAUUAAGCGUAUACCAUAAUAGUUUACGUAUUUGAAUGCAUGCUGAAAGUUUCAUAGAUUGUGAAUAUUUAUUCGUUAAUUUUCUUGAUAUUACUACCCAAUAAAUGUUGAAAGCGGGUAGCAUUUGGCAUAAUGUGUAAUUUCUUGUACAUGAUAGAAAAGAAUUUCUGAUUUGAAUUUUAAAGCGACCUCAA
This 522-nucleotide ribosomal RNA is filed under the name Tetragoneura ambigua. RNAcentral's name for it is "eukaryotic LSU rRNA". The stretch from base 1 to 106 matches the Rfam family "5.8S ribosomal RNA", at positions 66 to 154 of the family's 154-position model. Lineage: Eukaryota; Metazoa; Arthropoda; Insecta; Diptera; Mycetophilidae. The record is from RNAcentral.